Henosepilachna vigintioctopunctata is the source of this 75-nucleotide non-coding RNA. The record is from the annotation of a GenBank genome assembly. Lineage: Eukaryota; Metazoa; Arthropoda; Insecta; Coleoptera; Coccinellidae.
GACCUCGGUAGCUAAGUGGUCCAAAGCAGUACGACGUAAACCUGAAGAUCUGGGUUCGAAUCCCAGUCGAGUUCA